This 374-nucleotide ribosomal RNA is filed under the name uncultured bacterium. RNAcentral describes it as "bacterial SSU rRNA". It matches the Rfam family "Bacterial small subunit ribosomal RNA", at positions 525 to 896 of the family's 1533-position model. The record is from RNAcentral.
ACGUAGGGACCAAGCGUUGUUCGGAUUUACUGGGCGUAAAGGGCGCGUAGGCGGCGCGGUAAGUCACUUGUGAAAUCUCUGAGCUUAACUCAGAACGGCCAAGUGAUACUGCAGUGCUAGAGUGUGGAAGGGGCAAUCGGAAUUCUUGGUGUAGCGGUGAAAUGCGUAGAUAUCAAGAGGAACACCUGAGGUGAAGACGGGUUGCUGGGCCAACACUGACGCUGAGGCGCGAAAGCCAGGGGAGCAAACGGGAUUAGAUACCCCGGUAGUCCUGGCCCUAAACGAUGAAUACUUGGUGUCUGGAGUAAUUUGUGCUCCGGGUGCCGUCGCUAACGUUUUUAGUAUUCCGCCUGGGGAGUACGCUCGCAAGAGUG